CCGCGGGAGACCUCUCGGGCCCGGUACGCCCUACCCUUGGUUCGCCACCUUGCCCCUCGAGUCCUUGUCCAGGUCCUCCGCUUCUUGCAGUUAAAGAAAUUGUAAGAGACGGGGUGCUUCUUUAGUUGAAGCUUUCAGAGGCCUCCCGGGAGCGCAGGGUAGCGCCUCUGUUUUUUUUUUCUUGCUUUCUUGGAGGUUCUUACAAGAAGGCUGCGUUCCGGGAGCGGCCCCUCCCACUUUCCCGGUCCGCAGCGUUACUUACAAGGCUGCAACUUGACCGGGUGCAACUUCCUAGCGAGCCUCCGCCCCGCCCCUCGUGACGCCGCCUGCAGGCGGGCCCCCGCCUGCCCCAGCUCAGCCCGGGAGCUCCGCUGAGCUGCGCGCCGCCGCCUCCAGCUCCCCUGCCGCAGCGCGCCGCAGCCGGGCCUCCCCGCGCGGGCGCCGGAGAGGAAGGAAGGCUGGCAGCCUCGUCACGUGUCCGCUGCAGUCGCGAAACAGUUCCGGUGGUGAGGAGACCUUUCCAAAUAUAAGAGGAAUAAAGAAGUCACCUCCCCAGCUGUCAUCAUCUUCCAGCAGAUUGAGCAAGAAUAUUUUGAGCACUACAGGAAAGACAGUCCAUCAAACCCUAUAUGAUGAUCAGCCAUGUGACUUUUUCAAGAAGAGGAAUAGGGUGAAUGAAUCUCAUCAAAAAAGCAGGUAAAUAGUUUUAGUAUAAUUGUUUUAUCUUGCGAAAGGCUCAUUAUCUCUCU
RNAcentral lists this long non-coding RNA (749 nucleotides) under Theropithecus gelada (gelada). RNAcentral's name for it is "lncRNA (ENSTGEG00000010861.1)". Lineage: Eukaryota; Metazoa; Chordata; Mammalia; Primates; Cercopithecidae. The record is from RNAcentral.